CCUCGAGCGCUGCUGUUUCAAAUCAGACCUGCAGCGCCACUGCGGCGGCGGCUGGCGAAAUGUCCCUGUUCCAUCCGCACAGCCGCGCCUAGCCGCAGCAGGUGGACGAUGGCCCCUAGCAACGCAAGCGUGUGUACACGGCGAAAACAGUCGACCUCUAUCUACUGUUGCGUGUGCGGAUGUCAUAACAGCUACAAGAACACGGCAGGGAAACUGCCGAAGGUGCAGUUUUAUCACUUUCCUUGGAAAUCGUACGAGGCUGAUCGGCGACAACGUUGGAUCGCUGCCGUUCGGCGCACCCGCCCGAAUGGAGAUUUGUGGCAGCCAGUGCAACGCAGGACAGUCAUCUGCAGCGCUCACUUUGUCGGUAACAAAGCGAGCACGAUUGCCGGCCAUCCCGCCUAUGUGCCAACUGUGUUUCCGCCGUGUUACAAAAGAAGUGAUGCAGUACUACCGGCAUCAAAGCUCGACAGAUAUAAGAGGGUUCAGCGACGUCGCGCAGUGCUUCAAGCGCCGACAUCCAAGAGCGCAAUCACGGCGACUGCAGAGAACUCCUCGACUGACUUCGCCGACGAAAUCAUUGCAUUACCGGAAGAAACGGGCACAUCCGCAUCCG
This is a long non-coding RNA of Dermacentor andersoni, 616 nucleotides long. RefSeq lists it as uncharacterized. The record is from RefSeq and is a predicted model, not a curated record. NCBI's taxonomy places the organism in Eukaryota, Metazoa, Arthropoda, Arachnida, Ixodida, Ixodidae.